Misgurnus anguillicaudatus (oriental weatherfish) is the source of this 1342-nucleotide non-coding RNA. Lineage: Eukaryota; Metazoa; Chordata; Actinopteri; Cypriniformes; Cobitidae. The record is from RefSeq and is a predicted model, not a curated record.
GAAUUCUUCAUCCAAUUGAAAUUUGAAUAUAUUAUUAAAUUGUGUCACCUAUGUAGUAGAACUGUGGAGUUAUUUUAGAAAUUGGUGCCUUCUAGGCAGAGAAAAGUCAGAAAAUGUGGUUUUUUGCUCAUGUGGAUGAAAAACACCAAGUCCCAGAAUGCAUUGCUUCGCUGCUUUACGAGGCCACUCCCUAGUCACGCCUAGCGGUUCGAGACGGCAGGAGGGAGGGAGAUUCAACUCGGCUAAAUACAACUUUUACAUACACGUCUGCAACGAUUUAGUUGAUAUAUUAUUAUAAAUACUACCUUUUCCACAUUGAAAUGAUGAUACGUUGCGUUGUAACGGGAUGUUCAACCAAAACCGGGAAAGGACAAGCAGUAAGUUUUCAUCAUUUGCCGCGGUGUAAACAAUGGCUGCGGGCUAUCAACCACGCAAAGUUCAGAGAAGACAACGACGCGGUAAAAUUGAAAAACCUGAGGGUUUGCAGUCUCCAUUUCAAGCUGGAAGAUAUCGAACCCAAUGUACUCGGAAUGCAGUGAAACACGCUAAAGGACACUGCGAUUCCGUAUAUAUGUACCUUCACAGACACGACGAACAGCCGGGGCCAUCUGGCAUCAAACGCAUUCGUCUACGUUAGAGGUUUCCGGAAGAAGAUGCAGAAGAAGGGGAUAAAAGAACAAUGAAAUCCUCCUUGCAUGGACCAGGUCUGUCAUAAAUCAUAUGUGGUUUUCCUGUGCAACCAGUAAGGGGGACAUCGAGGAGAAGCACGGUUGAACCAAAUGUUCUGCAAGAAAUCCAAGCAGUGGGUCUUGAAGAAAAGCUUCAUACCACACACCACACAGUUUGUAGACGAACUCAUCCAGAAGGCCAUUGACAAGACUCAAUCCAAACAUUGUGUUCAAAGUGCCAACGUCCUCACUUGCCCUGCCACAGCCUGCGCUGCCACCCAACAUUGCACCAGUGCCUAAACCAUCAAAGGAGGCUGCCACGACUUCUUUCAAAAGUCGCUUCUGAGACUGACACUUUCUAAUAAUAAUAAUAAUAAUCACCUCUUCCCUGAGUCCUAUUGCUGUGUCUAAUCAGAUUCUGCCACCACUCUUUAUAUUUAUAUUAUUUUAUACUGUGUGUAUAUAUACACAAUGUUUUUGUGUAUAUUUUUGCUUUGUUUUUAUUUUGUGCAGGACAUUUUUAGAUGUAAAUUAUGUCAUUGUUUAUUUUAAUGUGUUCUUUUCACUGGUGACACAAUAUUUUUCCUUUGUGAAUAAUAGAAAAUAAAUAUCUUCAUCUAACUCUGUCUUUUGUACACCAAAUUUAUACAUUAUAGACUUGUAGAGGCGCAAUG